AAAAAAAAAGAAAAGGCAUAAAGAGCAACGUCAGGAUCAGAACCAGUUUUAACUUCCCAGGUGCAGUUCACCUGGCUGCUUUCCAGAGCCAGUAAUUCAGUAAUUGCUUCAGAAGGACUCAUUGCAUAAAUGUGACUAGAAAUAGGACCCCUUCUAGCCAUAAUUAAUUUUAAUGGCCUUUUGCAUAGUAGUGUUUCUAAAUGCUUUAUAUUGUCCUAAUCUCACAAGUAAAAACCUGAGUCAUCAGAAGGUUUAAAUCUGCCAUUAGACCAGACAGUGGGCUUGGACAGAAUUUUCUGACUUCCAGUCCUGUCCUUUGAUCACAGGAUUUCUUCAGUGCAUUCAAGCAUAUCUUUUCUGUUCAUUGUCUCACAUGUAUUAUUUGUGUCAGGAUGAAUCACAUCUCCGUACACAGGAUAUAAAACUGGCUCCGGAGUUCUACAGCCACAGGAAGCGCAGAGACUGCAGGGGAGGAGAAUUGCUUCCCUGGCUCCUGCAGCUUGGACAUCAGCAUGAAGCAAUCAGGAGGGUAAUCAAGGAGAAAGGAAAUAAUCUUUCUGGCCCCACCAGCAACUACUUACAGUGGAAAGCAACAGUGGGAAGCCAUUAAUAGGUGGUUGUUGAUGGUGUUAUCAAAACGUAUUAGUAAGAGAAAGGCUAAAAGCUGUCCACUGAUCUUUUUAUGAUGAUCUAUGACAAAAAAGCUUCCAAACCAUUCAGAGAACACUGAACUCCCUACCUACCUUUACAGGUAUUUCUUUCCCACUGUCUUUGGGAGCAGGAAGCUCCAAGUGGUAAAAACCCACAAGUACACAAAAGCAGGAGUACUGAAGGAAUGUUAGAAGGGCAGAGUGACUGAUGCUGUCAUCUGAUGGAUUCAUUGCCCAGAUUGACGUGUUUAUAUAAAAACCUGCAGUGCUGUUCACAGACCCUCAGUGGUGGACCAGUGGAAUUCGUGAGAUAGCAGCUGGGACAAUCACUUCCAGUUCAAUAAAUCUUUGUUUUCCUUUGC
Molecule: long non-coding RNA, 1012 nt
Organism: Passer domesticus (house sparrow)
Lineage: Eukaryota; Metazoa; Chordata; Aves; Passeriformes; Passeridae
Exons: 3
Source: RefSeq, a predicted model, not a curated record